UGGAAACUAUAGCAUGGAUAUGAAAACCGCAGUUUCGACUGGUGUGUGUAUGCGUGUGUGCGUGUGUCUGUGUGUGUCUGUAUGUGUGUGUGUCUGCGUGUAUUUUAAAGGUUUCUUUGAACUGCCUUUGUGCUGAGUCGGCGCUGCUUCUUGCCAAUGCAAGUCACGGUCAUACGAACUUUGUGUUAACCUUUUAUGUCGAAUGAAUCUUUUCAUUUGGAAAGCCAUAAAUCUCAUUCCGUAGCUCCUUUUGUGCAGCGCGCUACGACUUAGUAAGCCAAGUGUGCGUUCAACAACAAAAAAAGUAGGAAAACAAAAGUUGCAACCGAUAGAAAGUAUAACUUUAAAAGCAAACAAAAAAAUCAGAUUCCAGUGUAAAGUGCGGGACUGGCUGUUCACAGGAGGCAUCGAGGAAGCAAUCGAAGUGGAAACGGAGCGCUCACAUGCACAACCUUGAGAAUAUCGAAAGGCAAGCCUUCAUCUCGAGUUGGCAUAUAUUUGCAGGUUUCGUUUUCGCAAAACAAAAGGAAAUUUGUUCGUCAAUUAAUGUGCUACGAUGUCUCCGCACCCGUCGUUCAAAGAGUUCAGGCACCAAAUGGACGCCAUGAACAGACCAACCCGUGCUUCUGCUGGUCCUAUAAUCCUGUGGCAUGUGCUGAUGACAUCACAUGAUGUCCAUUGCCGGCAACAUCUAGUUCCCUGCAACUGUCAUUUAAUGUUGCAAGCAAAUGAAAAAUGACUGUGAGACUCACUGGCUCCCAGAAGUGACCUUGAGUAUUAUUAGAAUGACCUCCCAUCGGUUUGACCAGAAGACCUUUGAUAUCUGCAUGAAGAAAAUAUACGAGUGAGCUGCCUGGUCUACCGAUAGAAAGGACAAUGAUCAGCGAGAAUAGCACAAAGCUGAAGCUAAGUUGCAGCUCAUGGCCUGCCAACAUUGAAAAGUGAUCGCUAUACAUAACGUGAAUCACUGUAUCCAUUGCUCUGAGAAUUGUGUUUUUUUUUAAUGCAAAUCUUUAUGUAUAUAUAUAAAAGCAUUAAUUUAAAAGGCCCCAUGCUUGCAUAGGAUACACACACACACAUAGAGAAAUAUUUCUCGGGCCCCUGUCAGUUGGAAAUGAAUCUGACAGUCAAUAGAGUUCCACUCCUCCCAACGCGCAUUCUAUUACAGACUUUCUCAAGCCAUAGUCAGGAAGAAAACUGUAAGGGAAGUCACAUGUUUUGAAUGGUUGGUUCAUUGAGUAGACCAAAGCUUUUCUUGAUCAAAAAUCAUAAGUCGAAUUCUUUGAUGUAAUCAGCUUUUCACGUAGUCUCUUCCUUCCCGAAGCAAACUCUAAAUACUACUCUGCUCUAAUCAGCUCACACACUGUAAGCACUUUCCACGACUAAUACGAUAUCCUGAAAACAAAUUACUGAAGACUGAUUACGGGAGGGAAGGUUAGCUCUACUGCUGUACUUUCACCCACUGCGUCGUUCAUCUCUCUCCGUCAGUCUCUUCCUCCCUUCUCCGCAUUUCAUGCGAUUUUUAAAAAGUGUCCCCUCCCUCUUUUCCAGAUUCCAACCCCUUUCUUCCUCUUUAAAUAGUUUUUCCUCGUGUUUCUUGACUUUUCCUUGGUUUCUUUGCCUUAUGCACCAUUGCGCCAACCUGAAGCACACAUUACUUUAUGUUUGCAUUUUGAGGGUAUUAAUGAACUGUCUCUCGUCGAUUGUUCUCCCUCCGCUGUGCAUCCUGAUAGUAACAAUAGAUAGUGGAUGUGAUCUCAUGUGCAGUUGGGGUUUGUUCACAAGCGCAGACAUCCCUACCCCAAAAAUGGCACCAGCAAAGUUCUCAACUGCAAGGCCAAUCCCGCCAUUGUUCAAAUAAAAGCAGCCAUUUCGUUGAUUCAGCCAGGGGCUAACAAUUCACCAUAUCUGGUAUUAUUACAAAAUCAGAGGGCCCACCUUGUCAGUGCAACACAACACAUAGGGUCCACACCUACUUACAAUUAUAGCUACAUAUAUGAAGCUGCGUACCACAUGCAAACAUUUGCAGCAGUGAAGGGUCUCUCUCUUCACCCCCUCCCCACCUCCCACCAUCACCUCGGCAUCCUACGUCAUCCCACCCCCACCCUCCCCAAUCCGUCUGUCAAUAUUAGGCAAGCUGUUCACUUUCAAUCCAUCUUGAAAUUAAUACGGAUAUUGUCAUGUGCAGAUUGUGACCGUGGGAUACUUUGAGUUGAGCUAGUGCCUUUUCCCCUACGUGCGUUGGUCAACAUGAUAAAAUGUUUCCUUUCGAAAUGGAACGGUACUGCAUCGAGAUUGUAGCGUGCUGAAUUACUUAUGUUACAAAGUUGGAAAGAGAGAUCUUUCAAAGGCAGCAGAUUCAAUCCAAUCAAAUAAUAUUGUGAUCUUCGAACAGUCCUUCUGUGACAAUAUAGAACCCUAUUUAAAUAAACACAUGGGAAGCAGUAGAUCUGCCUUUCUUUCGUAUCAUAGCUGCUUUUUCAUUGUGUAUAUUGUUCAUUGUUCACAUUCAUUGUGUAUAUGGUUCAUACUGAGCAUAUAAGAAAAAUAUAGGAUGGUAAAAUGCACACCCUUUAACAUCACCGAAAAAGCAAGGAUUGUGCAGACUGGCCAUUAUAGUUUGGAAAUUACAUUAUUCGAAAGUCACCAAAUACUUAAAAGGGUUAAGCAAGAAGAGCAAGGACAUGUAUUUCACAAUCAUUGGGAUCAAAGCAAUGCUACUUCUCUGCUUCGGUUGUUAGGAAAACUUUCAACAAAGAGGCUUGUUAACACCUUAAGGUUCACCUUGUCCCCUACCGUUAAUCUGUCACAAAUCGGUAGAAUGGGAUCCAUAGAAAGUGGCUUUAAAACUAUAUUUUUGUGUGUCUUAGCGAUCAUUCAUCACGUGCCAUAUAUUUACAAACGGAGGUAAAAGUAAUUUCUCACGUUAAACCAGCAAACAAUAUGUACACGAGGACAACUCUCCCAUAAUGUAGAGUUGCAACAACUUUCUUGCUUUAUUUUUACGAGUAUUCCCUGCGGGUGAUUACAAAAAAAAAGCACCCGCAGAU
Long non-coding RNA from Rhincodon typus (whale shark), 3050 nucleotides. RefSeq lists it as uncharacterized. The transcript has 3 exons. Lineage: Eukaryota; Metazoa; Chordata; Chondrichthyes; Orectolobiformes; Rhincodontidae. The record is from RefSeq and is a predicted model, not a curated record.